Molecule: long non-coding RNA, 1509 nt
Filed under: Lactuca sativa (garden lettuce)
Lineage: Eukaryota; Viridiplantae; Streptophyta; Magnoliopsida; Asterales; Asteraceae
Description: long non-coding RNA (LSAT_LNC010209)
Source: RNAcentral
UUAUUAUUUACGGCCACAAACCCAGAACAAACCUAUACAUCAUUUCUUGUAUCAAUGUACAAAAGUACCUUCAUAAAGAGUACUGUGCCUUCUUAGCUCACGUGGUAGACAAAAAGCAAGAAGUGAAUGACAUAGCGAGUAUUCCUAAGGUCUGCAACUUUCCUGACAUUUUUCCCAAUGAUCUUCCAGGAGUGCCUCCUGAACGACAAGUCGAAUUUAGAAUCGACUUAAUUCAUGGGGCUACCCCUGUAGCCAAAUCCCCCUAUCGUCUUGCACCUUCUGAAAUGCAGGAGUUAUCCAUCCAACUUAAUGAACUCCUUAUCAAAGGUUUCAUAAGACGAAGCUUCUCACCUUGGGGAGCACCAAUUCUUGUUCAUGAAGAAGAAGGAUGGAUCAUUCCGUAUGUGCAUAGACUAUCGCGAGCUGAAUAAACAUACCAUUGAAAAUUGAUACCCUUUACCUCGUAUUGACGAUCUGUUUGAUCAACUUCAAGGUGCGAGCUACUUCUAAACUAUAGACUUAAGAUCCUGGUAUCACCAAUUACGGAUUUUGGAGAUUGACAUUCACUAAACCAUGUUCAGAACUCAUUAUGGUCAUUAUGAGUUCGUAGUGAUGCAAUUUGGAUUGACGAAUGCACCAACUGUGUUCAUAUAUCUAAUGAACAGAGUGUGUUGUCCAACCAUUGAAUCUAAUAUUCACAAUCGACAUGGCUAACAGAAAAUCCGAAUCUACCAACGAUAUAUACAUAGGAUGUACUCUUACCUUGAAUAACAUUUCGUUCCCAAUAGACCUUAUGCCGGUCUCUAUCAAAAGUUUCGACGUCAUAAUAGGUAUGGAUUGGUUGUGUCCUAAGCAUGCUGACAUUCUAUGCUAUGAAAGAGUUAUUUGUCUGAAGUUGCCAACUAACGAAACACUUAUUAUUUACGGCGACAAACCCAGAACAAACCUCCACAUCAUUUCUUGUAUCAAUGCACAAAAGUACCUUCACAAAGAGUAUUGUGCCUUCUUAGCUCACGUGGUAGACAAAAAGCAAGAAGUGAAUGACAUAGCGAGUAUUCCUAAGGUCUGCAACUUUCCUGACAUUUUUCCCAAUGAUCUUCCAGGAGUGCCUCCUGAACGACAAGUCGAAUUUAGAAUCGACUUAAUUCAUGGGGCUACCCCUGUAGCCAAAUCCCCUUAUCGUCUUGCACCUUCUGAAAUGCAGGAGUUAUCCAUCCAACUUAAUGAACUCCUUAUCAAAGGUUUCAUAAGACGAAGCUUCUCACCUUGGGGAGCACCAAUUCUUGUUCAUGAAGAAGAAGGAUGGAUCAUUCCGUAUGUGCAUAGACUAUCGCGAGCUGAAUAAACAUACCAUUGAAAAUUGAUACCCUUUACCUCGUAUUGACGAUCUGUUUGAUCAACUUCAAGGUGCGAGCUACUUCUAAACUAUAGACUUAAGAUCCUGGUAUCACCAAUUAUGGGUUCUGGAGAUUGACAUUCACUAAACCAUGUUCAGAACUCAUUAUGGUC